GGUGGCUGCAGAAUAAGAAAGUUAACAGCUUGAUGCCAGUAGGUCUCCCAGUGCAUGGAGGGGCAUCUGCUGGCCCCAUACGACUUGCGAUUCCUGAAACUGAAAGAGGGUUCCUGAGAUUACUUCAGUCUCUCAUCCUGGCAUUGCAAUUCCAAAAAUCUUCAACACAUGAAUAUUUUCUUUUAAGAAAUAUAUAUUCUACUGGGACUCCAUCAAGAUAAAAAGCUUUUGCACAGCAAAAGAAACAGUCAACAAAAUCAAAAGACAACCGACAGAAGAUAUUUGCAAAUGACAUAUCAGAUAAAGGGCUAGUAUCCAAAAUCUAUAAAGAACUUAUCAAGCUUAACACCCAAAGAACAAGUAAUCCAAUCAAGAAAUGGGCAGAAGACAUGA
This is a long non-coding RNA of Mirounga angustirostris (Northern elephant seal), 393 nucleotides long. RefSeq lists it as uncharacterized. Lineage: Eukaryota; Metazoa; Chordata; Mammalia; Carnivora; Phocidae. The transcript is spliced from 3 exons. The record is from RefSeq and is a predicted model, not a curated record.